ACGGAAGGCAGCAGUGGGGAAUAUUGCACAAUGGGCGCAAGCCUGAUGCAGCAACGCCGCGUGAGUGAUGAGGGUCUUCGGAUCGUAAAGCUCUGUCCUUAAGAACGAAACAAAUGACGGUACUUUUGGAGGAAGCCCCGGCUAACUACGUGCCAGCAGCCGCGGUAAUACGUAGGGGGCGAGCGUUAUCCGGAAUUAUUGGGCGUAAAGAGUACGUAGGUGGGUUGGUAAGCGUGAGGUGAAAGCCCGGGGCUAAACUCCGGUAAGCCUUUCGAACUGCCAGACUUGAGUGCAGGAGGGGAAAGUGGAAUUCCUAGUGUAGCGGUGAAAUGCGUAGAUAUUAGGAGGAACACCGGUGGCGAAGGCGACUUUCUGGACUGUAACUGACACUGAGGUACGAAAGCGUGGGGAGCAAACAGGAUUAGAUACCCUGGUA
RNAcentral lists this ribosomal RNA (436 nucleotides) under uncultured Anaerovorax sp. RNAcentral's name for it is "partial 16S ribosomal RNA". It matches the Rfam family "Bacterial small subunit ribosomal RNA", at positions 341 to 792 of the family's 1533-position model. The record is from RNAcentral. Lineage: Bacteria; Bacillati; Bacillota; Clostridia; Peptostreptococcales; Anaerovoracaceae.